Molecule: ribosomal RNA, 450 nt
Filed under: uncultured bacterium
Lineage: Bacteria
Description: partial 16S ribosomal RNA
Rfam family: Bacterial small subunit ribosomal RNA
Source: RNAcentral
GUGGGGAAUCUUCCGCAAUGGACGAAAGUCUGACGGAGCAACGCCGCGUGAGUGAAGAAGGUUUUCGGAUCGUAAAGCUCUUUCGUUAGGGACGAACGUGCUCUUUGUGAAUAAUGAGGAGUAAUGACGGUACCUAAAUAAGAAGCCACGGUUAACUACGUGCCAGCAGCCGCGGUAAUACGUAGGUGGCAAGCGUUGUCCGGAAUUAUUGGGCGUAAAGCGCGCGCAGGCGGGAUAUCAAGUCUGUCUUAAAAGUGCGAGGCUCAACCUCGUGAGGGGACAGAAACUGGUAUUCUUGAGUGUCGGAGAGGAAAGUGGAAUUCCAAGUGUAGCGGUGAAAUGCGUAGAGAUUUGGAAGAACACCAGUGGCGAAGGCGACUUUCUGGACGAUGUCUGACGCUGAGGCGCGAAAGCUAGGGGAGCGAACGGGAUUAGAUACCCCAGUAGUCC